RNAcentral lists this ribosomal RNA (780 nucleotides) under uncultured Staphylococcus sp. Its description in RNAcentral is "bacterial SSU rRNA". It matches the Rfam family "Bacterial small subunit ribosomal RNA", at positions 93 to 860 of the family's 1533-position model. The record is from RNAcentral. Lineage: Bacteria; Bacillati; Bacillota; Bacilli; Caryophanales; Staphylococcaceae.
UAGCGGCGGACGGGUGAGUAACACGUGGGUAACCUACCUAUAAGACUGGGACAACUUCGGGAAACCGGAGCUAAUACCGGAUAAUAUGUUGAACCGCAUGGUUCAAUAGUGAAAGAUGGUUUUGCUAUCACUUAUAGAUGGACCCGCGCCGUAUUAGCUAGUUGGUGAGGUAACGGCUCACCAAGGCAACGAUACGUAGCCGACCUGAGAGGGUGAUCGGCCACACUGGAACUGAGACACGGUCCAGACUCCUACGGGAGGCAGCAGUAGGGAAUCUUCCGCAAUGGGCGAAAGCCUGACGGAGCAACGCCGCGUGAGUGAUGAAGGUCUUAGGAUCGUAAAACUCUGUUAUUAGGGAAGAACAAACGUGUAAGUAACUGUGCACGUCUUGACGGUACCUAAUCAGAAAGCCACGGCUAACUACGUGCCAGCAGCCGCGGUAAUACGUAGGUGGCAAGCGUUAUCCGGAAUUAUUGGGCGUAAAGCGCGCGUAGGCGGUUUUUUAAGUCUGAUGUGAAAGCCCACGGCUCAACCGUGGAGGGUCAUUGGAAACUGGAAAACUUGAGUGCAGAAGAGGAAAGUGGAAUUCCAUGUGUAGCGGUGAAAUGCGCAGAGAUAUGGAGGAACACCAGUGGCGAAGGCGACUUUCUGGUCUGUAACUGACGCUGAUGUGCGAAAGCGUGGGGAUCAAACAGGAUUAGAUACCCUGGUAGUCCACGCCGUAAACGAUGAGUGCUAAGUGUUAGGGGGUUUCCGCCCCUUAGUGCUGCAGCUACGCAU